Molecule: long non-coding RNA, 413 nt
Filed under: Trifolium pratense (red clover)
Lineage: Eukaryota; Viridiplantae; Streptophyta; Magnoliopsida; Fabales; Fabaceae
Description: long non-coding RNA (TPRA_LNC012336)
Source: RNAcentral
AUGGUGGUUAAGCGUUGAUUUGUUGCUUCCUCCGAGUAGUUUAGCCUUGAGUUGUGGUUUCUACUUGAUGGUUAAGCAUUUGCCCUUAGUUGGCUUUGAUGGGUUGUGUUUCUUCCUUAUGAUGGUUAAGCACAACUAGUUGCAUUUGAGUUGUCCUUUUAGCCGAUGUAUUCCGGCAAAUCUUAUUGUAUUUUCUUUUGAUUUGAUGUACUUUUGUAUUGCUUAUCCCAAGCUAGAAGUGUUGUGAACACCUUCUAGCUUGCGGGAGGGUGUUAAAGAUAUAGUUAGUUAGUAAUUAGGAGGAUUAGUUAGUAGUUUCUUGAUGCCUAUAUAUAGGCUUUGAUGUAAUCUUUUACAUUCAUUUUUCUCAUUUUGUAAUAUUUUUUCUUCAUCAAUAUUAUAUACUUUUGAGC